ACACCGGUCCUUUUUAGGGCCACUACAUGGUAUAUUACAAAUCUGA
Harpegnathos saltator (Jerdon's jumping ant) is the source of this 46-nucleotide non-coding RNA. The record is from Rfam. Lineage: Eukaryota; Metazoa; Arthropoda; Insecta; Hymenoptera; Formicidae.